Molecule: ribosomal RNA, 254 nt
Filed under: uncultured bacterium
Lineage: Bacteria
Description: partial 16S ribosomal RNA
Rfam family: Bacterial small subunit ribosomal RNA
Source: RNAcentral
UACGGAGGGGGCAAGCGUUGUUCGGAAUUACUGGGCGUAAAGGGCGCGCAGGCGGCUGCUCAAGUCAGGCGUGAAAGGCCUGGGCUCAACCCGGGAAUUGCGCUUGAGACUGGGCUGGCUUGAGUGCGGGAGAGGAUGGUGGAAUUCCCAGUGUAGAGGUGAAAUGCGUAGAUAUCCGGAGGAACACCAGUGGCGAAAGCGGCCACCUGGACUGUACCUGACGCUGAGGCGCGAAGGCGUGGGGAGCGAACGGG